CGUUUGAGAUGCUCUUAUUAACAAGGAUGUUUGCUUCGCAGCUAAAACGCCAAGGGAUGGUGGCGCAGUUGGCUAGCUCCUUGGUCUCGUAGCUAAAAUUGCGAGUGACCCAGAACUCGAGAGUUCGAAACUCUAUCAUCCCACCCAUAAAAUGGCCAUCGUAUUGAUGAAAAGCUCAGCGACAACUUGGGUCGUCGCAUCUGCACCUGAAUCAUCAGGUGUGAAUCGAGCAAAUCUGAACCUGGCCUAUCGUUUUUUUUUUACCCUCUACAUCCGGGGUUCAGCCGCCGCCGGCGUAGCAGCCAUGCCUCCGCCGUCACUGUUGCGCCCUCCUCUCUCCCUACUCCUCCGCCGCUGCCAAACUCCAUCUCCUCUCCGACGGAUCCCCAGAUUUAGCCCUCUGCCUAAGCGGCGGCACCUCGUCGCCGCAGGGGUGGAGGAGGCGGUGGUGGGCUUCGUCGCCGGCAAGCGCAAGGCCACCGAGGUAGCCCACGCGUAGGUACUCUGCUUCCUUCUCGUCCCUGCGUCCUCGUCCUGUACUGCCUAACUUAACCCUGCUUCCUUUCCGUUGCUGAAAUUGAAAGCGUUACCUUUUCAACCUGAAUCACCUUCUAGCAGGGCAGCAAUCUCGAAAUGCUGUGUUAGUGCUAUGUAUGUUCCAAUUUACAGCCCUGCAAGUAAAAUAAUUAAUGUGGAUUCCUUUGCAGAAUUCGUUCAAACAAGAUGUGUUUGAAGCUAUUUCUUGGGUGGUGCUAAGGUUACUAAUUGUAACGUUCUUGUCUGACUAGACGGGUGUGGAGAAGUAUCGUUCGGAAAGGAGAUGCAGUGGUUGAUGCCACCUGCGGGAAUGGCAACGAUACGCUCGCUCUGCUCAAGAUGUUGGCCGACGAAACAGGGCGAGGGCGUGUCUAUGGAUUGGACAUCCAAGACUCCGCGAUAGAUAGCACUUCUUUUUUUCUGAAAAUGUCCGUCGACAGCCAUGGGGUAUGCAACUGCAGGAAACUGUAAAACUUGUUGCUGGUUUGAGUGAGGACUACCUUAUGUGGUUUCUCUUGUUAGUUUCCUUUGAGAAGGAUUAUUUUCCUCCGCCGCUCCCAAACUCCAUCUCCCCUCCGACGGAUCCCCAGAUUUAGCCCUCUGCCUAAGCGGCGGCACCACUCCGCCGUGCAGCUCGCCGACCCGCUCAUCGCCGCAGGGGUGGAGGAGGCGGUGGUGGGCUUCGUCGCCGGCAAGCGCAAGGCCACCGAGGCUUGUAGCAUUCAAUCUGGGCUACCUUCCAGGAGGAGAUAAAAAAACAAUCACAGUACCUGAGACAACUGAGCUGGCACUACAAGCUGCCAGCAGAAUUGUUGGCUCAGGGGGACUCAUAAGUGUCCUUGUCUACAUUGGGCAUCUGGGUGGAAGGGACGAACUCGAUAUUGUUGAAUCAUUUGCCUCAAGGUUGCCUGUUGAUACAUGGGUGAGCUGCAAGUUUGAAAUGAUUAACAGGCCAGUUGCUCCAGUACUAGUUCUCCUGCACAAGAAAUGAUCGCAGUCCCACUGAAGCUCUGCAAGUUUGGGAUUCCCUAUUCUGUAUUUCGAGUCGAUGAAUGAAAUGCCGCAGUGAUGCUGAAUUUCUCAUGAGUUAGAGAAAGAAAUACUGUAAAGGCUACAGUUAGCUGUAACCGGAUUAUUACGGUGUUCUGGUGAUUGCUGACAAGCAUGUUACUCCACCAAUUAUCGUUUUAUUAAGGUGUUCCGCGUCUGUCUUUUCAUGUGAAGUUCCGGCUUACUAUGUUCACUGAAAUGUUGCGCAACUAUAUGUCUGUAUCUUGAAUAUUGAUAUGUCAUAAA
Molecule: long non-coding RNA, 1833 nt
Organism: Triticum aestivum (bread wheat)
Lineage: Eukaryota; Viridiplantae; Streptophyta; Magnoliopsida; Poales; Poaceae
Exons: 5
Source: RefSeq, a predicted model, not a curated record